CCCCCCCCAGUAAAAGUGUAUGUAAACUGUUCUUUAAGAUGAAGAAAGAAAACACUGUGUUCCUUACCUCUGGUAGUAAGAGUGUGUGUGUGUGUGUGUGUGUGUGAGAAACAUGUAGCCUAUUAAUGUGUGAUUUGCUACUCGAUCAGGUUCAGGUCAUUGUUCGUGCACUGGUCUUUAAUCUUUUUGUUGUUCUGUGAUUUUGAUUGGUUGUCUCUGGGUAGAGUCUGGAGAGUCCAUGGAUCUUGCCCCGAUUGGUUGGCCUUUCAUUGCCAGCUGAAGGUUCCGUUUGAUGAUGUCAUAAUGAACUCGAGCCACAGUUAGGAAUGGCAGUUAAUGAAAAUUCUAGAUUCUUUUACAGUAGAAUUCUGACCCUUAAUUGCUAGAUCAGUUCUAGAGUUGAUAUCUGGCGUAGUUCUUGCACUGAUCACCAAACACUGUGAUUUUUAAUUGUUUUAUUUAAUUGUUUUAAUUAUUUUCUUUUACGUUUUGAAGGGAUUCAUCACUGUGAAAACAGAUGUAAAAUAUAUGAAGGAUUUAGAUUGAGAUCAUUUCUAAGGGAGGUGCCAGGAGCCCAACUAAUCAGGUUGGGCCUAGAAGAUUUGCAUCAACAGCCCAAUGAAAAUAUAGGCUUUAAAUAUAAGGGACCAUUCUGUAUUGGAAAGAAAGAUGUUGUGUGUGUGUGUGUGUGUGUGUGUGUUCCCAUAGACUGUGAAGACUACUGUAAAGUCAUUGUUUUCGGCUGUUGAGUAAUAAGCCUAACCUGAUGACUCAUUGUCUACCACGUAAGCAAACCAGGAGCGUCAUAUAAUCGGUUUGUUGUCAGGUGUGUGUGGUCUGGUUAUCUGUGAUCUGUUUGUCAGUGUGUGUGUGUGUGUGUGUGUGGUUUGGUUAUCUGUGAUCGGUUUGUUGUCAGGUGUGGUUUGGGUAUCCCGUUGAUUGGCUGUAAUGCUAUUUCUGCCUACAUGACUACUUGCUUUCAGUUGACCUUGAUCCCAUUAGUGCGUGACCUUCAGAGAUGUAGAUAGAUGGAUGUACAUCUGAACUUCAAUGGUGCUCCCAGCGUUGUUAAAUGACCAGAACCCUAUUUGUGUGGAGGGAGGAAAGUUGACAUAUCUUUGCCUAAAUUGUAAAAUAAACUGAAUUAUUUGAAUCGUAGAUUCUUAAUCGUGUGUAGUCAGUGGUCAUGGGUGAUGUGGGUGAUCCAUUUGGAUGUGAAGAAAUCUGAAGGAGUUUAGGGACACGCUUGAGCUAUUCAACACUGAAUAGAAUGGCUCAUCUCUACGGUACGGGAAUGGAUCUCUACUGUGGCCCUUAUCUCUAUGGUACAGAGCUGGGUGAUCCAUUUGGAUGUAAAUAAAUCUGAAGGAGUUUAGGGACACGCUUGAGCUCCUCAACACUGAAUGGAAUGGCUCAUCUCUAUGGUACAGGAAUGGAUCUCUGCUGUGGUCCUUAUCUCUAUGGUACAGAGUUGUUCCAGAGUCAGCCAGCGUCUUUGUUGAGUUUUGUCUUUGUUCCUUUCGGGUAAAAGGGAUGCAUUUUUCUCAUGUGAUUGUCUGUACAUUUUGACUUUUUUUUUUACUUUUAUUUUCUUUGUAGUUUGUCAUUUUGAUAAUGAAGAACAUGAUGUUGUAUCUCUUUAACUGGGUUGAAUUGAAGGACAUGCUGUUGUAUCUCUUUAACUGUGUUGAAUUGAAGGACAUGCUGUUGUAAUCUCUUUAACUGUGUUGAAUUGAAGGACAUGCUGUUGUAUCUCUUUAACUGUGUUGAAUUGAAGGACAUGCUGUUGUAAUCUCUUUAACUGUGUUGAAUUGAAGGACAUGCUGUUGUAUCUCUUUAACUGUGUUGAAUUGAGCCCAAUUGCAGACGAAACGGCCCCAGGCCUUCAGUGGAUCUGCCGCCAACAAGCGAAAAACACAGACUGCUGACCUCUAUGGCUCUGGGGCCCCAUGUAGCCUCGUCUCGUUCCGAUGUAGCCUCGCCUCGUCUCAUCUGGACUGGAGUUUGAGAGCCCUCAUCAUGAAGUCUAUUAGCAAAUGAAAUCAUAAGGUCGUAGGUCAGGCGGAGCGCUGGAUCUCUCAUGAUUUGUGUUCCUCUUUCAUUACCAGAAUUUGUCUAUUGCAAAUAAAAGUGACUUUUUCAAA
Long non-coding RNA from Clupea harengus (Atlantic herring), 2144 nucleotides. RefSeq lists it as uncharacterized. The record is from RefSeq and is a predicted model, not a curated record. NCBI's taxonomy places the organism in Eukaryota, Metazoa, Chordata, Actinopteri, Clupeiformes, Clupeidae. The transcript is spliced from 2 exons.